Molecule: non-coding RNA, 113 nt
Organism: Acanthosepion pharaonis
Lineage: Eukaryota; Metazoa; Mollusca; Cephalopoda; Sepiida; Sepiidae
Source: the annotation of a GenBank genome assembly
CCGACCACAUUACGUUGAAAACACCGAUUCCCAUACGAUAACCGAAGUUAAACAACGUCGAACCUGAUCAGUACCUAAAUGGGUGACCCCUUGCGUAUACCAAGGACUGUAUG